Molecule: ribosomal RNA, 545 nt
Filed under: uncultured marine eukaryote
Lineage: Eukaryota
Description: bacterial SSU rRNA
Rfam family: Eukaryotic small subunit ribosomal RNA
Source: RNAcentral
UUGCAGUUAAAAAGCUCGUAGUCGGAUUUCAGUGUUCAGUAAGCUGUCAUUUUGUUUCAGUCUUACUUACUCUUCUUUGUUGACAAUUUUCAUCGCCUUUAUUGGUGGUGUUUAUUUCGUCGACUCUUUUACUUUGAGAAAAUUAGAGUGUUCAAAGCAGGUCUUCACGCCUGAAUAUUACUCUUGGAAUAAUUACAUAUGACUUUGGUUCUUAUUUGUUGGUGAUUAGGGACCGAAGUAAUGAUUGCCAGGGACGGUUGGGGCCAUUCGUACUGCAAAGCGAGAGGUGAAAUUCUUGGACCUUUGUAUGACGAACUACUGCGAAAGCAUUUGGCUAGGACGUUCCCGUUGAUCAAGAACGAAAGUUGGGGGAUCGAAGACGAUCAGAUACCGUCGUAGUCUCAACCAUAAACUAUGCCAGCUAGGGAUGGGUGGAUGUUUUUCUAAACGACUCCAUCCGCACCUUAAAGAGAAAUCAAAGCAUUUGGGGUUCCGGGGGGAAGUAUGGUCGCAAAGGCUGAAACUUAAAGGAAUUGACCGGAGGG